RNAcentral lists this ribosomal RNA (428 nucleotides) under Actinomycetes bacterium. RNAcentral's name for it is "Actinobacteria bacterium partial 16S ribosomal RNA". It matches the Rfam family "Bacterial small subunit ribosomal RNA", at positions 355 to 776 of the family's 1533-position model. The record is from RNAcentral. Lineage: Bacteria; Bacillati; Actinomycetota; Actinomycetes.
UAGGGAAUCUUCCGCAAUGGGCGAAAGCCUGACGGAGCAACGCCGCGUGAGUGAUGAAGGUCUUCGGAUCGUAAAACUCUGUUAUUAGGGAAGAACAAAUGUGUAAGUAACUAUGCACGUCUUGACGGUACCUAAUCAGAAAGCCACGGCUAACUACGUGCCAGCAGCCGCGGUAAUACGUAGGUGGCAAGCGUUAUCCGGAAUUAUUGGGCGUAAAGCGCGCGUAGGCGGUUUUUAAGUCUGAUGUGAAAGCCCACGGCUCAACCGUUGGGGGUCAUUGCAGGCUGGAAGACUUGAGUUCAGAAGAUGCAAGUGGGAUUCCAUGUGUAGCGGUGAAAUGCACAGAGAUAUGGAUGCACACCAGUGGCGAAGGCGACUUUCUGGUCUGUAACUGACGCUGAUGUGCGAAAGCGUGGGGAUCAAACAGG